Molecule: ribosomal RNA, 253 nt
Filed under: uncultured bacterium
Lineage: Bacteria
Description: partial 16S ribosomal RNA
Rfam family: Bacterial small subunit ribosomal RNA
Source: RNAcentral
UACGUAGGGUGCGAGCGUUAAUCGGAAUUACUGGGCGUAAAGCGUGCGCAGGCGGUUUUGUAAGCCAGAUGUGAAAGCCCCGGGCUCAACCUGGUAAUGGCAUUUGGGACUGCAAGGCUGGAGUUUGGCAGAGGAGACUGGAAUUCCUGGUGUAGCAGUGAAAUGCGUAGAUAUCAGGAGGAAUACCGAUGGCGAAGGCAGGUCUCUGGGCUAUAACUGACGCUCAUGCACGAAAGCGUGGGGAGCAAACAGG